GAAGUUAACGGUGAUGGAUCUCUUUGCGACGACUUUAUCGCCAGAGUUUCGGAUCGCUUUCUUCUGGCGCGUUGUCUUGAGCCGCCAUCAGGGGUAUAUGGUAAUCAUGUUUGUUCUACUGUUCUAGAUUCGUGCGUAUUUCGUUGGAAUGCUUCCUUGUGCCUGUAGUUAUGGAAUGCGUAUUUCAUCAGAUUUCUGUACAGCUUCUUGGGCAGCUUUAAACUAUCGGACAACAAAUUUCCAUGGCCAAAUUAAGAACAACGAUGCCUCGCGUCAAAUCUCGUGCCAGGCCUUGAAUUACCAAGAACUUUUGUUCCUAUCUCUGGAGGCGCUCAUGAAGACUCAAAAUGAUGAUGUCCGAUUGAAAUAUGUAGGAAAGCUCCAAUGACUCGGAUCUUUCUUCUUGUCAGUUCACUGUUUUGUUGUUACUAUAUGUAAGUUCAUUACAUGAUGAUAGGUAACACACUUUUGUUUCUUCUUUGUUGUAUCCUCUUUUUGGUAUAUAUUUGUUGUCUAUGUACCUCUUUGCCAGACUUGUUGAUGAGAAGAUGGUUUAGCAUGUUCCAGUAUAUUCUUGUCAGCAAAAGUGGCUUACUAUGUGGAUACCAUGACCCAUUUAUGGUCACACAAAUGGUGAAUAUAUAUGGGUUUUGUAGGUCUGUUGCUGAUGCUAGUUGCGACACUUCCUAUGGUUCAGAAGUUGAGAGAAUACUGUUCCAAUUGGUGACUGAAAGUGAAUGGGAUAUGCAUUCUUCAAGGAUUCAUAGACCAUCAUUAGUAUGGUUGUUUAAGCAAGAGAAAAUCAGAAAUCCAUUAUGUUAUCAGGUUUUGAAAAUAUGCCAAAUCCAUUAUGAACUUUUGCUGUUUUACUUAAACGCUCAUGUUUAAUAAUUUAGUGAUAACACAUAUUAUAUUUAGCACUUGGGUAGUAGGCAAAUCAGUUGAGAUCUCCAAAAUAUGCAUGUUGGUAAAUGCAUUAAGAUCUUUUAAAUUCAUAUUUGAUAAUUAGCGGUACCAAGUAUUCUAGACUUCCAUUAUGAACUCGUAAAGAAAAUGACCAAUAAAGUGAUGCGUUAGGCUUACAGCUAAUUGACUUUCAAAUGUAAACUUACGAAUGGUACGAGCGAAUGGCCACGAGAUGAUACGAAAAAAAUUGUACUUUGUUGUUAGUGCUCUGUGUGUUAUCUCUGUUUAUUUCUUCUUUUGACUUAUAGGUACGAAGGGCUGUGUGGUUUAUCCACGAACUUUGAUUUAACUUAUCUACCCAUAUCGCAAUCACGUUAAUUUUCUUGAAGGGAUUUCUAGCUUUCAUUUGUUAGAAUUGUUAGUGUGAAUAUGUGCAGUCUUGAUGCGAAGUGAUUGCCAUAUGAAUGCAAUUCUUGAUUUAAAUGCAUUUUUGUUUUACCGGGGUGGUUUUGAUAUGAUAUGCAGUGGGAGGGAUAAGAUUGAAACUUCAGAUCAGGUGAAAUUCUUCCUUCCCAGAAUUUUCAUUUUGAGACGUCUUAGUUGUAGUCAAGGCAUUAAUUGACAGUUCGGUUCUAUUUUUAGUUUAAGCAAGCUGAAGAAACUGUUCAGAAACUUGAUCUUGAUUCCAACACAAAUGCCUGUCUCCUCGCUGAAAACUUUAGUUGGACGGCUUAUCGAUCGUGUUUCUUCUCACAUCAUACUGGAGUGUGCUUUGCAAACUCAUCCGAAUAUUACUAUUAUCGGAGAAGAGGUUGCGGCUAAGAAGCUUACCUUGAAAAGCGUUACAGACUACAUUGUUGAUGUAAUUAGUAGACGUUCUGAACUUGGUUAUUAAUUAUAGUGUUGUACUUAUUCCCGAGGGUCUGAUUGACUUCAUUUCGGAGGUAUUUCUCUUGUUAUUGUAACUAAUUAUGUUUAUUUCUUUUGAUUGUAUGCUCAAUAUCCACUAAACCCAAGAUUCUCGGGAUCAAUAUGUCAUUCUUGAACUGAUUAUUUAUAGCCCGCUUUCUACGGGUGCAGCAGCUUAUUUCGAAACUCAAUGAAAUUCUUGCCCAUGAUAUUAUAGAUGAGGAUAGGUUAUGGAAAAAGAAAUAUUAUAGAUGAGGAUAGGUUAUGGAAAAAGAAACUUACUACUCAAUCUCAUCACCUUUUUGAAUUUUUCCCACUAGCAAUCCAAGAACAAUUAUUGCUUGAAAGAGAUCCACACGGAAAUGUCCAGGUAAUUGCCUUUUCAUUUUGUUUUAUACAUGUCUUUCCAUGAAACUGAGUUGGAAAAGAGAAGGCAAGAAGGUGCAUAUAAUGGGCGGCCAAUUCAAGGGGUAGUCACAUUUCUUUGGGUACUUAUUCUAUUCGUGCUUGAACUUUUACUAUUUUACUUAAACGCUCCUAUUUAAUAAUUUAGUGAUAACAUAUAUUAUUUAGCACUUGGGU
Benincasa hispida (wax gourd) is the source of this 2397-nucleotide non-coding RNA. The record is from RefSeq and is a predicted model, not a curated record. Lineage: Eukaryota; Viridiplantae; Streptophyta; Magnoliopsida; Cucurbitales; Cucurbitaceae.